Molecule: small nuclear RNA, 104 nt
Organism: Delphinapterus leucas (beluga whale)
Lineage: Eukaryota; Metazoa; Chordata; Mammalia; Artiodactyla; Monodontidae
Source: Ensembl
GUGCUGGCUUCAGCAGCACAUGUACUAAAAUUGGAACGAUACAGAGAUUAGCAUGGUCCCUGCACAAGGAUGACAUGCAAAUUUGUGAAGUGUUCCAUAUUUUU